This 348-nucleotide long non-coding RNA is filed under the name Serinus canaria (Common canary). RNAcentral describes it as "lncRNA (ENSSCAG00000012129.1)". The record is from RNAcentral. Lineage: Eukaryota; Metazoa; Chordata; Aves; Passeriformes; Fringillidae.
UACAGGAAGCCAUGGGCCAUUUACUGUGCAGUUCAGGCUCUCAGAACCUUCUUCGUUGGCUCAAGUGAGGAGCAGCUUCUCCUGAAGGUGUCUGCAGGAUUUGGCAGCUGUUCCACACCUCUGAACUUGAUGGAUGUUGCAGUAAGGACUCUGCAGAUGAACCCCAAACGAGGCAACAACUACUUUGGGAAAGUGAAGGAAGUUCCUGAAUUGUUGAUAUUUACCAGAAUUUUAGUUAGUGCAUAUGCUGAGACUUCAUUGUAUGACUGGAAAUUAGUGAGGAUGGAUAUGGAAGCAUCUUAAUGCUGUAGAAACUAUAUAAGAAUAAAACCCUAAUAAAAAAUCGCA